GAUGAACGCUAGCUACAGGCUUAACACAUGCAAGUCGAGGGGCAGCAUUUUAGUUUGCUUGCAAACUAAAGAUGGCGACCGGCGCACGGGUGAGUAACACGUAUCCAACCUGCCGAUAACUCGGGGAUAGCCUUUCGAAAGAAAGAUUAAUAUCCGAUAGUAUAUUUUCUCCGCAUGGCGAGAAUAUUAAAGGAUUCCGGUAAAGGAUGGGGAUGCGUUCCAUUAGGUUGUUGGUGAGGUAACGGCUCACCAAGCCUUCGAUGGAUAGGGGUUCUGAGAGGAAGGUCCCCCACAUUGGAACUGAGACACGGUCCAA
This 316-nucleotide ribosomal RNA is filed under the name uncultured bacterium. RNAcentral describes it as "bacterial SSU rRNA". It matches the Rfam family "Bacterial small subunit ribosomal RNA", at positions 28 to 334 of the family's 1533-position model. The record is from RNAcentral.